RNAcentral lists this transfer RNA (74 nucleotides) under Rhodospirillum rubrum. Its description in RNAcentral is "tRNA-Gly". It matches the Rfam family "tRNA". From Rfam's summary of the family: Transfer RNA (tRNA) molecules are approximately 80 nucleotides in length. The record is from RNAcentral. Lineage: Bacteria; Pseudomonadati; Pseudomonadota; Alphaproteobacteria; Rhodospirillales; Rhodospirillaceae. RNAcentral also lists the same sequence under 16 other names.
GCGGGUGUAGUUCAAUGGUAGAACAUCAGCUUCCCAAGCUGAAUACGAGGGUUCGAUUCCCUUCACCCGCUCCA